RNAcentral lists this long non-coding RNA (217 nucleotides) under Mytilus galloprovincialis (Mediterranean mussel). The record is from RNAcentral. Lineage: Eukaryota; Metazoa; Mollusca; Bivalvia; Mytilida; Mytilidae.
CGCGAAAUUUCAUGAAGGAUAUGGCGAAUUUACGUCAUGGCAAAACACGACGUCAUACGAAUGGAAAUUUUCAAGGUAAAGAUUAUUUCGUUACGUGUACGCUUCAAAUUCGGAUAAAAUUUAAUUAAAAUGAAGUUUUUGAGGUAGGUGCUAUUUCAUUUAAGAUUCCGUUGUAUUUAUCGGACAUUUAUGGUUUUUAGAAAGUCAAGAUGGCGGC